GUAUUUGCCAUAUUCUGGGUGUGUCUCU
Molecule: non-coding RNA, 28 nt
Filed under: Rattus norvegicus (Norway rat)
Lineage: Eukaryota; Metazoa; Chordata; Mammalia; Rodentia; Muridae
Source: RNAcentral